This 458-nucleotide ribosomal RNA is filed under the name uncultured bacterium. RNAcentral describes it as "partial 16S ribosomal RNA". It matches the Rfam family "Bacterial small subunit ribosomal RNA", at positions 338 to 794 of the family's 1533-position model. The record is from RNAcentral.
CCUACGGGUGGCAGCAGUCGAGAAUCAUUCACAAUGGGGGAAACCCUGAUGGUGCGACGCCGCGUGGGGGAAUGAAGGUCUUCGGAUUGUAAACCUCUUUUGUCAGGGAACAAAGACUGGGACGCGUCCCCGGAUGAGUGUACCUGAAGAAAAAGCAUCGGCUAACUCCGUGCCAGCAGCCGCGGUAAUACGGAGGAUGCGAGCGUUAUCCGGAUUUAUUGGGUUUAAAGGGUGCGCAGGCGGUCUGUUAAGUCAGCGGUCAAAGCCCGGGGCUCAACCCCGGCCCGCCGUUGAAACUGGCAGUCUCGAGUUGGAGAGAAGUAUGCGGAAUGCGCGGUGUAGCGGUGAAAUGCAUAGAUAUCGCGCAGAACUCCGAUUGCGAAGGCAGCAUGCCGGCUCCACACUGACGCUGAGGCACGAAAGCGUGGGUAUCGAACAGGAUUAGAUACCCCGGUAGU